This 253-nucleotide ribosomal RNA is filed under the name uncultured bacterium. RNAcentral describes it as "partial 16S ribosomal RNA". It matches the Rfam family "Bacterial small subunit ribosomal RNA", at positions 524 to 776 of the family's 1533-position model. The record is from RNAcentral.
UACGAAGGGGGCUAGCGUUGCUCGGAAUCACUGGGCGUAAAGGGUGCGUAGGCGGGUCUUUAAGUCCGGGGUGAAAUCCUGGAGCUCAACUCCAGAACUGCCUUUGAUACUGAAGAUCUUGAGUUCGGGAGAGGUGAGUGGAACUGCGAGUGUAGAGGUGAAAUUCGUAGAUAUCUGGAGGAACACCGGUGGCGAAGGCGGCAUCCUGGACCGACACUGACGCUGAGGAGCGAAAGCCAGGGGAGCAAACGGG